GUCGAGAAUAAUUCACAAUGGACGAAAGUCUGAUGGUGCAACGCCGCGUGGAGGAUGACGGUCUUCGGAUUGUAAACUCCUGUCAUCCGGGAGUAAGACCUGGCUGUGAAUAGCAGACAGGGUUGAUAGUACCGGAAGAGGAAGGGACGGCUAACUUCGUGCCAGCAGCCGCGGUAAUACGAAGGUCCCGAGCGUUGUUCGGAAUCACUGGGCGUAAAGGGAGCGUAGGCGGCGUGGUAAGUCAGAUGUGAAAUCCCGGGGCUCAACCCCGGAACUGCAUCCGAUACUGCCGUGCUAGAGGAUUGGAGAGGUAGCUGGAAUUCUUGGUGUAGCAGUGAAAUGCGUGGAGAUCAAGAGGAACACUCGUGGCGAAAGCGAGCUACUGGACAAUAUCUGACGCUGAGGCUCGAAGGCCAGGGUAGCGAAAGGGAUUAGAUACCCUGGUAGUCC
Molecule: ribosomal RNA, 450 nt
Filed under: uncultured bacterium
Lineage: Bacteria
Description: partial 16S ribosomal RNA
Rfam family: Bacterial small subunit ribosomal RNA
Source: RNAcentral